RNAcentral lists this ribosomal RNA (465 nucleotides) under uncultured beta proteobacterium. RNAcentral describes it as "bacterial SSU rRNA". It matches the Rfam family "Bacterial small subunit ribosomal RNA", at positions 198 to 644 of the family's 1533-position model. The record is from RNAcentral. Lineage: Bacteria; Pseudomonadati; Pseudomonadota; Betaproteobacteria.
GGAGGAAAGCAGGGGAUCGCAAGACCUUGCGCUUUUGGAGCGGCCGAUGUCUGAUUAGCUAGUUGGUGAGGUAAAGGCUUACCAAGGCGUCGAUCAGUAGCUGGUCUGAGAGGACGACCAGCCACACUGGGACUGAGACACGGCCCAGACUCCUACGGGAGGCAGCAGUGGGGAAUUUUGGACAAUGGGGGAAACCCUGAUCCAGCCAUGCCGCGUGAGUGAAGAAGGCCUUCGGGUUGUAAAGCUCUUUCAGCCGGAACGAAACGGUCACGGCUAAUACCUGUGAUCACUGACGGUACCGGAAGAAGAAGCACCGGCUAACUACGUGCCAGCAGCCGCGGUAAUACGUAGGGUGCAAGCGUUAAUCGGAAUUACUGGGCGUAAAGCGUGCGCAGGCGGUUUUGUAAGUCAGAUGUGAAAUCCCCGGGCUUAACCUGGGAACUGCGUUUGAAACUACAAGGCUAG